AUACGGAGGUUCCAAGCGUUGUUCGGGAAUUACUGGGCGUAAAGGGAGCGCAGGCGGACAGGUCAGUUUAAAGUGGAAUCCCAGGGCUCAACCCUGGACGUGCUUUGGAUACUGCCUGUCUUGAGUUCGUGAGAGGAAAGUGGAAUUCAGGGUGUAGCGGUGAAAUGCUUAGAUAUCCUGAGGAACACCAGUGGCGAAAGCGACUUUCUGGCACGAAACUGACGCUGAGGCUCGAAAGCAUGGGUAGC
This 248-nucleotide ribosomal RNA is filed under the name uncultured bacterium. RNAcentral's name for it is "partial 16S ribosomal RNA". It matches the Rfam family "Bacterial small subunit ribosomal RNA", at positions 523 to 769 of the family's 1533-position model. The record is from RNAcentral.